This 1085-nucleotide ribosomal RNA is filed under the name Forticulcita isabelae. RNAcentral describes it as "partial large subunit ribosomal RNA". It matches the Rfam family "Eukaryotic large subunit ribosomal RNA", at positions 220 to 919 of the family's 3401-position model. The record is from RNAcentral. Lineage: Eukaryota; Metazoa; Platyhelminthes; Trematoda; Plagiorchiida; Haploporidae.
CCCGUGGGGGUGGAGAUUAAUUUGGCCAGUGUCUCUCUGGGUAGACCUUGGAGUCGGGUUGUUUGUGAAUGCAGCCCAAAGUGGGUGGUAAACUCCAUCCAAGGCUAAAUACUAGCACGAGUCCGAUAGCGAACAAGUACCGUGAGGGAAAGUUGAAAAGUACUUUGAAGAGAGAGUAAACAGUGCGUGAAACCGCUCAGAGGUAAACGGGUGGAGUUGAACUGCAAGCUCUGUGAAUUCAGCUGGUGAGUAUGGUUUGGGCUUGGUCAAUUGGUCGAGCUUCGAAGUCUGCGUAUUAGCAGGUCUCUGCUCUCGGGUGGAGAUGCGCGGUGCACCUACCAAGUGUUGUGCGCUUCGGAGUUCCGGAUCAGCUCGCCAGUGCACUUUUGCAGAGUGUUCACCACGACCGGCAUCGCUGUCUGGCUGUUGUGGUUAAACCGGUCUUGCAUUGUCCUUGUGGCUUUGUUUGGUCGGGACGGCAGGUAGCUCGUUGAUGUUCCGUAGCUUGCUGCGGUCGUCUUCGGGUGUAAUCAGCUGACUACGAUGGUUCUGUGCAGUAUGUCGGAGACGGCGGCUUGUGUGUUCGUGCAUGCCGGUCCUGUGGGCUUGCUCGGGUCUGACUGUCGUGUUGCUUGCGUAAGCAGGCCUGAUGGUGGCUCGGGUUUGUUCUGCAGGCGGUUGUGUGCGUGACAUCUUAUGCGGGCCAAUAGUCUGUGGUGUAGUGGUAGACGAUCCACCUGACCCGUCUUGAAACACGGACCAAGGAGAGUAACAUGUGCGCGAGUCAUUGGGCGUAACGAAACCCAAAGGCGCAGUGAAAGUAAAGGCUUGGCUUGUCCUUGCUGAGGUGAGAUCCUGCCGUUUCUCAUGCGCGGUACUACCAAGCAUCGAGCGGUGGGCGCAUCACCGGCCCGUCCCAUGACGUAGACACAUAGCUUCAUGCCAGUGCACCGUCGGGGCGGAGCAUGAGCGUACAUGUUGAGACCCGAAAGAUGGUGAACUAUGCUUGCGCAGGUUGAAGCGGAUCCUCUGGUGGAGGACCGCAACGAUUCUGACGUGCAAAUCGAUCGUCAAACGUGAGUAUA